This is an RNA transcript of Salvia splendens (bonfire salvia), 2779 nucleotides long. It is a transcript of the gene named glucan endo-1,3-beta-glucosidase 11, with no coding region annotated. The record is from RefSeq and is a predicted model, not a curated record. Lineage: Eukaryota; Viridiplantae; Streptophyta; Magnoliopsida; Lamiales; Lamiaceae. The transcript has 4 exons.
UUAACCCUGACAAAAGUUGAAAUGAAGUAAUCCUAAAGAAAUGAAUUUUCCUUUAAUUAACGCGAGAGAGAAAAACAGAGGGUUCAAGAGUAAAAAACAGAGUCCAUCACAUCAAUGGAGCUAACGAGUCCCCUCCGCCUCCCGCUCUUCCUCUUCUCCGCGGCAUUGAUGUUGAAUUCGGCUAUUUCGCUCGGAAUCAACUACGGCCAGCUCGGAAACAACCUCCCCCACCCCGAAUCAGUGGUCCCGCUCGUCAAAUCCAUCGGCGCCCGCAGCGUUAAGCUCUACGACGCCGAUCCCCGCGUCCUCAAGGCCUUCGCCAACUCCGGCGUCGAAUUCAUUGUCAGCCUCGGCAACGAGGACCUCGUCCGCAUGCGCGACCCCAAGCAGGCCGCCGCGUGGGUGAAAUCGAACGUCCAGUGCUACCUCCCGGCCACCAAAAUCACCUUCAUCGCCAUCGGUAACGAGGUCCUCACCCUCAACGACUCCGCCCUCUCCAACAGCCUCCUCCCGGCGAUGGAAUCCGUCCACGCCGCCCUCGUCUCUCUAAACCUCGACAAGCAGGUCGCCGUCACCACCGCGCACAACCUCGCCAUCCUAGACGUCUCCUACCCGCCCUCCGCCGGCCAAUUCCGCCGCGAUCUGGCGCAGAAGCUCUCCUGCAUCCUCGAAUUCCACAGUAAAGUCGGAUCCCCCUUUUUCAUCAACGCCUACCCCUUCUUCGCGUACAAGUCCAAUCCGAAGCAGGUGCAGCUCGAUUUCGUGCUGUUCGGGCCGGGCUCGGGGAUAAUCGACCAGGGAUCGGGCUUACACUACUACAACAUGUUCCACGCGCAGGUCGACGCGGCGUACGCGGCGAUGGAGAAGCUAGGGCAUAAGGAUGUGUGUUUGCAGAUCUCGGAGACGGGGUGGCCGUCGAAGGGGGACGCGGACGAGGCGGGGGCGACGCCGGAGAACGCGCGGCUGUACAACGGGAAUUUGAUGAGGCUGAAGAAGGGGACGCCGAUGAGGCCGAAUGCGGACUUGAAUGUGCACGUGUUUGCCUUGUUUAAUGAGAAUCAGAAGCCCGGCCCGACCUCUGAGAGGAAUUUCGGGCUGUUCAAGCCCGAUGGCACCCCGGUUUAUAAUUUGGGGUUUAAUACCACGGGAUUGGGAAUGGGAUCGGUGAGUGGUAACUCUUCCGUGUCGUAUGGCGGCACGUCCUCGCCGGAGGGCCCCUCCGACGGCUACUUGGCAAUUACUUCCGACCACGCGAGGAGCCUUCCUCUAUCAGUUUUGUGCAUGGCGGUUUCGGCCGUUGUAGCAUUUCACCUCUGAUCAUAAUAUCCAAGGUUCAUACAGAGAAUCACUUGAAAAGAAGAAGAAGAAGAAGAGAGGCAGAUGCAAAAAAGGCUAGAGGCAGCCCCGGCCACAUCCAGUUAGCAGUAUGGAGAAUUUAGGAAGGUCGGCUGAAUUAUUUGAGUGAUGGGAUAUGAGAAUUGAGAGAGAUGCAUUGCUCUUUGUUACUUUUAGGCUGGCAUUGAGGAGUUCGAUGAACUGGUUGCAGCGGUGUAACGUGAAGCUGACGAGGCGGAGGCGGCAGUCCCUCGGCUGAUCCAUCAUCGGCGGACAAUCUGCCGUGACCAUAUCGGGGCCGACCAGCUGUUGAUGGAAGACUACUUUGGCGAUAACCCUCGUUAUCCAUCAGAGAUUUUCCGCCGGCGAUUCAGAAUGUCGCAACAACUCUUCAUCCAUAUAGCGACGUGUUUGGCGCAGCGAUUCAGGUGCUUCACCUUGCGACGUGAUGCUAGUGGCCAAGUCGGUUUGUCGACAUAUCAAAAGUGCACUGCUGCAAUUAGGCAGCUUGCCUAUGUCGGGCCCGCUGACAUGUUCGACGAAUAUCUACAGAUGGGUGAAACAAUUACCCUAGAGACGCUGAGACAGUUUUGUAGGGGCAUCAAGGAUAUCUUCGGUCCGGAGUAUUUACGGAAGCCAAAUGCCGAUGAAUGCCAGAGAUUGAUACAUAUGCACGGGACUGUGAACCAUUUUCCAUGGAUGUUGGGCAGCAUCGAUUGCAUGCACUGGGAAUGGAGGAACUGCCCAGUGGCUUGGAAGGGGCAGUUCACUUCUGGAUUCAAAGGGAGACACCCCACGAUGAUCUUGGAAGCUGUUGCUGACUACCAUUUGCGAAUCUGGCAUGCGUAUUUUGAUGUCGCUGGGUCUAACAACGACAUCAAUGUUCUACAGUCGUCGCAUCUCUUCAAUGACGAGUGCCGGGGUGAGGGUCCGCAAGUCAGAUUCGUGGCCAACGGCACGUAGUACAACAUGGCAUACUAUUUGGCCGAUGGGAUAUACCCUCGUUGGCCCGUGUUUGUCAAGACGAUCCGGCAACCGGUUGGGCCGAAGCAAUCCUAGUUUGCGCGAAACACAAGAGGGUGCUAGGAAGGAUGUUGAGCGAGCUUUUGAUGUCCUCCAAUCGCGAUGGGCCAUUCUACGGUGCCCGUUACUACAAUGGCACGAAAAUGAUGUCGUCGAUAUCAUGUAUGCAUGUAUCAUAUUGCACAAUAUGAUAACAGAUGAUGAAGGAUUUGCUGCAGAGCGCUGGGCACCAGAAGAUGGGGCUAGUACAAGUCAUGGUAUUGCCACCGUCCCCUGCAGAUGGGUGUACCGCGUACUAAUGUGUUGUGAUAGAAUAGAACAAUUGUGUAAUCGACAAACGAAAAGAACGUAAAAAAGACACAUAAUUUACGUGGUUCGCCAAUUGGCUACAUCCACGGGCAAGAGCGGAGAACAAAUUGUA